UACGUAGGGUGCAAGCGUUGUCCGGAAUUAUUGGGCGUAAAGAGCUCGUAGGCGGUCUGCCGCGUCGGAUGUGAAAAUCCAGGGCUCAACCCUGGACCUGCAUUCGAUACGGGCAGACUAGAGUUCGGUAGGGGAGACUGGAAUUCCUGGUGUAGCGGUGAAAUGCGCAGAUAUCAGGAGGAACACCGGUGGCGAAGGCGGGUCUCUGGGCCGAUACUGACGCUGGAGGCACGAAAGCGUGGGGAGCAAACAGG
Molecule: ribosomal RNA, 254 nt
Filed under: uncultured bacterium
Lineage: Bacteria
Description: partial 16S ribosomal RNA
Rfam family: Bacterial small subunit ribosomal RNA
Source: RNAcentral